ACGACCUCAACUCAAGCAAGAUUACCCGCUGAACUUAAGCAUAUCAGUAAGCG
Molecule: ribosomal RNA, 53 nt
Filed under: Steinernema citrae
Lineage: Eukaryota; Metazoa; Nematoda; Chromadorea; Rhabditida; Steinernematidae
Description: partial 28S ribosomal RNA
Source: RNAcentral